GGGCCCGUAGCUCAGCCCGGUAGAGCGCCCGGCUGAUAACCGGGCGGUCGGGGGUUCGAAUCCCCCCGGGCCCACCA
This 77-nucleotide transfer RNA is filed under the name Thermodiscus maritimus. RNAcentral's name for it is "tRNA-Ile". It matches the Rfam family "tRNA". From Rfam's summary of the family: Transfer RNA (tRNA) molecules are approximately 80 nucleotides in length. Their secondary structure includes four short double-helical elements and three loops (D, anti-codon, and T loops). The record is from RNAcentral. Lineage: Archaea; Thermoproteati; Thermoproteota; Thermoprotei; Acidilobales; Acidilobaceae. RNAcentral also lists the same sequence under 3 other names.